AGUUUGAUCUGGCUCAGGACGAACGCUGGCGGCGGGCUUAACACAUGCAAGUCGAACGCACCGGGUAACCGGUGAGUGGCGCACGGGUGCGUAACGCGUAGGCAACCUGCCCUGGAGUGGGGAAUAACCCCGGGAAACCGGGACUAAUACCGCAUAUUGAUCUUUGGCCGCAUGGUUGGGGAUUGAAAGCCGAGAGGCGCUCUGGGAUGGGCCUGCGUUGGAUUAGCUUGUUGGUGGUGUAACGGACCACCAAGGCUGCGAUCCAUAGCUGGUCUGAGAGGAUGAUCAGCCACACUGGCACUGAGACACGGGCCAGACUCCUACGGGAGGCAGCAGUGAGGAAUCUUGCGCAAUGGAGGAAACUCUGACGCAGCCACGCCGCGUGCAGGAAGACACCCCUAUGGGGCGUAAACUGCUUUUCUGCGAGAAGAACGCGCUUUUUGGGAGCGUUUGACGGUAUCGCAGGAAUAAGGACCGGCUAACUCCGUGCCAGCAGCCGCGGUAAUACGGAGGGUCCAAGCGUUGUCCGGAUUUAUUGGGUGUAAAGGGUGUGCAGGCGGGGCAGUAAGUCAGUGGUGAAAGGCCGCGGCUCAACCGUGGAAUUGCCGUUGAUACUGUUGUCCUUGAGUGUCGGAGAGGCUACUAGAAUUCGUGGUGUAGCGGUGAAAUGCGUAGAUAUCACGAGGAAUACCAGAGGCGUAGGCGGGUAGCUGGACGACAACUGACGCUGAGGCACGAAAGCGUGGGGAGCGAACAGGAUUAGAUACCCUGGUAGUCCACGCCGUAAACGAUGGAUGCUCGAUGUCGGUCCCUUGUGGAUCGGUGUCCAAGCGAACGCGAUAAGCAUCCCACCUGGGGAGUACGCUCGCAAGAGUGAAACUCAAAGGAAUUGACGG
RNAcentral lists this ribosomal RNA (896 nucleotides) under uncultured bacterium. RNAcentral describes it as "bacterial SSU rRNA". It matches the Rfam family "Bacterial small subunit ribosomal RNA", at positions 10 to 916 of the family's 1533-position model. The record is from RNAcentral.